RNAcentral lists this long non-coding RNA (5700 nucleotides) under Marmota monax (woodchuck). Lineage: Eukaryota; Metazoa; Chordata; Mammalia; Rodentia; Sciuridae. The record is from RNAcentral.
UAUUGUAGGACAACAGAGGUAUUUAUACAUUACACACAGCUUAUCUAAUUAACAUAAACUAGAUACAGCAGUCAACCAAUAAGGAAUUUCCAGACUUAAUGGCUCGCUGGCAUUACUUCACAAACUAUUCCCUCUGGCAUUUUGCCAGGCGUCAUCCAGACUUGUUUACAGACUCUAACAAAGCCAAAAGCCAUCAGUGGGAAAGAUGAAGAAAAGUGGGCUUUCAGGGCAGGAGUUUCUGGCUAGAAGCUGUUCUUUGCUCAUUGUGUCAAUUUUUCUCCCAGCUCCCUCAGGCUGAUUCUCUAGGCUAAGAUGGUGGGGAUGGUGUUUGCUGUAGUCGAGAAAGAAAGUGGCAGGUUGAACCCAGGGGUAGGGCUGAAAAGCUUCCCAAGUCACACUUGGCUCAGGCUUCUCCAGGGAAGAUGGACAGAGGGAAAGGAGGUGCUGGCACCAAGCGAGGGCUCUGGAAAGUUCAGAGGAGCUGGAGGCCUAGGUGGCAGGACAUGCCUGGAUAGCAAAGAGAGUCUGCAAUGCUCACACAAGGGACAGCAGUCCAAACCCUAUCAUGCAUAAGCAGAUGGAGUCCGACAAAGACUUGCCCUAACCUGUCUCCCAUGUGGGACUGACCUAGCCCUAUUAAGUCCUUGGUGGGCAGCCGGGGAGAGCAGGGGUCAGGGUAGCUCAGUGUUAGACAGGACACCAUGGGAGACAGACCCCAUGUGGUUUCUGGCUCAUCUCCAUCUCUCAAAGGUUUUGGACAUGCACACAGCUGGAGGAGGUCUCCCUGGCGGAGAACUUUGGAAAGCUCCCUCUAGUGAGACUGGGCAGGGGUGGCAGGGUGGGGGUGCGGAAUGCCUUGAGAAAGCAGCUGAGGAAUGGAGGGAUCGGGAUUUUCCAGAGACUUCAGAGAUGAUGUAGAACAGUUUUACUAAAUACAUCCUGAACUCCUUCUCUGACAUUUCUUUGAUGGAUUCUCUUAUGGGAGCAGCUUGGUUUGUUUGGAGCACUUUAUUCCCUCGUUUUUUCAUUUUGUUUGUGUGUCUUUCCAUCUAGCCAUGUGGAUCUGAGGCAGGAUAGUUUCUACUCUGUAGAUUUGAAGUGUCCCUGAAGGUUUCCAGAAACUCGCAGAUCUAGGCUCCGGUUUCUGCAAGCUCUGCCACACUGCAGGACCCAGAAGGCUCACCAACCGAGGACAAUGGAUGAACUCUGGGCAAAGAAGUAGAUUUUGAAUGAGUCAAGAACAUAAAGAAUUGGGCUACACAGCACCCUGUACUCAAAGCAAGACAGUGAGGAAUGUGAAGAUUGAAGAUCAAGGGUAAGGCAAGUCAUGGGACAAGUCAAGAAAGUCAUCAAGGACAAAAGGAGCCAGUCACUAGAAAGCAAGUUAAUGCAAUAGAUCAAAUUCCAGAAUCCUGGAAAACUAUGAACCUAAAAUAUUAAGCAAGUUGAUGGGGAAAGGCAGACAUACAAAAGCACCAAUAUGGGAAAAUGGGAUUGGAGUACAAAUAUGAGCCCUAGUAAAAAAAAACACUUGCCACAAAUGUCUGCUAUAAUAAAUACCUNAGCCCCAUCCCCAGCCCCUUUUAUAUGUUAUUUAGAGACAAGGUCUCACUGAGUUGCUCAGGGUCUGGCUAAGUUGCUGAGGCUGGCCUCCAACUUGUGAUCCUCCUGCCUCAGCCUCCUGAGCUAUUGGAAUAUGGUUCAUAUGUUUAAUUAAUGAGUUAAAUAAAAUCACUGGCACAUGUUUAAAUAAGGAAAAGUAAACCAGGCACCGUAGCACACAUCUGUAGCCAUAAUUACUCAGCAUACUGAGGCAAGAGGAUGGUUUGAACCCAGGAGUUCCAGGACUGCUUGGGAAACAUAGUGAGACCCUGAAAAAUAGAAAAUGAAAAGGGAAAAGAAAAGGAGAAAUGAAGAAAAAACAAUAGAGAGAAAAAUUUUAAAUGUAAAACCCAGGUGUGGUUGUACACACGUAUAAUCCCAGCAGCUCAGGAGGCUGAGGCAGGAGGAUCGAGAGUUGGAGGCCAACCUCGGCAACUUGGCAAGACCCUGUCUCUAAAUAAAAUAUAAAACAUGCUGUGGACGGGGCUCAGGGGUGAAGUGCCCCUGGGUUCAAUCCCUGGUACCAAAAAAUAAAAAUAAAAGCCUAAGUUCAAUGUAACACAAAGCUUAGCUUCUGGACACAAGUUCAGAAUUAGAACUCUUCAUUUCAGCAUUAGUGUCACACAGGGGCUGGGGGUGGCUCAGCGGCCAUAGUUCCAAAAGAGGGAGAGACAGAGACAGACAGAGAGAGAGCAACAGGGAGAGAGAGAGAGAGAGAAGACAAUUGAGAUGAGGUCCCUGCUGAUGUUGGCCCUGAUCACUUGGCUGAGGUGUCUGUCACACAUCUCCACUGUAAGUGACUUUUUUAUUCCUCCAUUGAGCACUGGUAUGUCAGGCAGGAUGACUGAGGGCAAAGCAUUCUUGUGAGAGUUCUUUGGCAUGGGAAUUGGGGCUUUUUCCCACACUUGCCUAUUCAUUCAGUCAUUUGUUUACACCAAAAUGGCCUUAAGACUGUUUAUUUAGACUCUUGGCUACAAUCCACCAUAACUUCAUUUGUUAUUCAAUUGCCCAAUUGUUCCAGCUUUGGCCAAUGGGAGCAUGUCCAGUGCCUCCUGUGUUCCAGGGAGCAAGGUUCUUUACUGUGUGCUUUUCUCUUUAAGCUCUGCCAAACCCUGGGGAAACUGACACACUCCAGGACCACUAGUGGAUCUCCUGCUGCAGGCCUUUAUCCAAGAAGCCCCAUUCCUUUGAUGUGAGAAAGCUUGUAGGAACCAAGAGUGGCUCUGGCAUCCUCAGGCUCCUUGCUGUGCAUUAUCACUUCUAGGCCUAUCACAAUCUAACCCCAAGAGCACACCGAUUAACCACAUUUUCCAAAUGUACCCCAUCUGGUAAGAAUGAGGCAGAUCGGGCAUUCAUGCUGUCCUCUCCUUCAGUCCUACCACUGGGUCCUUCUGGACUUGGCUUACCUAUUUGCACAGUAAAGAAGCUUGCUCAAUAUCCACUUUCCAUUGUCCGUUUCCAGUGUGCAGAGCCACAGGGCCAGGGUGGCACACAGUCACCACAGGAGCAACCAGGGAGCAGUUGCAUGUGGACUCCUUCGGUGCUGCCAACUUGGCUAAGGUCCAGCGAUGUGGAGGUCAAUCAAUGCCUUUAGCUCCUGGCUAGAUGUUUGGCAGCCCUGCGGUUUAGGGAAAACCUACAUAAAAGAAAGUCAUCUAACUUUGAUAGACUUCAGUAUUUCUUAAAUUUUGCAAACACAAUCUUGGUUUUAUUCAUCUAGUAUCAGUGAAUAUCACAUGAGCUACAGAGUAUAAUUUUUUUAGCUAUUUGAUUUUAUACACCCCUUCCAAUAGUAUAUUUUAUAUGAUUUUAUACAUCCCAUUUCCAACUAGUACCAAAACUAUAAAAUAUUCAGAAGCAUGAAAAUAUAUAUUUUUAAUUGUGCAAGCUUUUUCACAUAUUAAACUCAGAACUUCAAUUUGUCCUUCAACAUGCAGGACUGCUGAAAUUUGAAGGUUAUGUCACCUUAAAAUUUACUUGUAUGGACGUGACUUUAUUAUAGCCACUCUCUUUAAGGUAAGAAGAUUAAAGAAGUAGAUUUUUUUAUGGUUUGCUUUAGUAUAUUGAACAUUUUUCUAAAAUAAACUAUAAGAAAGCCAUUCUAAUUCAGUGGAAGAGAUGCUGAAAGAUUCAAGAUUAACAUCCAUUAUUAGCAAUGGAAAACGGAGGGAAAGAUCCGUGAAUUGUGCUCGUAGAAUUCUGCCCCCAUGGGAGACGGAAGGGUCAAGCCAUGUUGCAGUCUGGCUGCAGCAAAAUAACGGGGGGGGGGUGACGAACAAGUUGUGUACAUUGAUAUGCAGGAGUGGAAGCCUUUUAUUGUAGGACAACAGAGGUAUUUAUACAUUACACACAGCUUAUCUAAUUAACAUAAACUAGAUACAGCAGUCAACCAAUAAGGAAUUUCCACACUUAAUGGCUCACUGGCUUUACUUCACAAACCAUUCCCUCUGGCAUUUUGCCAGGUGUCAUCCAGACUUGUUUACAGACUCUAACAUUUGUCAGGUGCCAUCCAGACUUGUUUACAGACUCUAACAUUUCCCUCUUUUGUUUAAUUUAAAUAACGACCAUAGUGGUUUUUACAGAAACACCAUAAAUAAUCUGCUACAAGCAGAAGGGGAGGAUAGAAAAUGUCACAAUACCAAGCCAAUUGAUGGCUCCAUGCAAGAAGCCCUUGGAAAAAUUAUAUCAGCAAUGACACCGUUAGCAAAGAUACCGAGUUACAAUUUGUUGUAGAUUACAGUUUGUUGUCUCAGUCCAGGUAAAGCAGUGUCUCAAUAGAUUAACUCACAGUCCAGGUAAGUUCUGCAGGCAGCUAGCUUAAAUCACAGUCCAUGUAAGUUCUGCAGGCAGCUAGCUUGAUCCGAAGUCUCGUCCGGUUCUCAGCCGAAGUCUCGUCUGGUUUUUAGCAACACUGUAAAUUCUUCCACCUUUGUUUUCACCGGCACUGGGAGGAAGGCAGGAACUCUGGAUGGCUAAAGAAAAUCCUGUAGCAUUCCACUAAGAAAACAACCUUCUGAACAAUUUAGUACAUUAUCUCAAGGUUUUUUUACAUUUGAAAUAAGCAUUAAUAGUGCUUAUUACUCAUCAGCUUCCAGGUGUGGGAGAACCAUUGUAGCUUAGUUAUUGGCAUUCAAAAUGACCAAACAUCAGGGACACCAGUAGUGUCUUCUGCUGGCUGUAGUGUCCUGGGCAGCCCCAGAUGGCCCUGGGGAGUGUCCCGGACUCAAACUGCUACUGGGCACAGGGAGCAAGAGCCUGUGAGACUGUGCCUCCAGGUCAGGUCUAGAUUUGGCCUCGCGACAGUGGAAGAGCCAGCUCCCCGGCCAGGAGGCGGGGAAGGGCCAGUCGCUGCCGCCUCUUGGAAAAUCCUUGCUGUGCUGUGACCCGGUUGCACACUCGGUAGCUGCCUCUCGGCUUCACGCACCCUCCGGUAAUGAAAAGUAUUUAGUAAUAGCCUUUUGCUGCAACUUUUUUUCCUGAUAAUCCUUCUUCUUCUGAAUUUUCUUUUUCUUUCUGAGUAGAGUUCCUGGGAUUCCAUCAACACAUGCCCUAACUAUUCUUGGUUUCACUGGGGUGCCUUCUUCCCUUAGUAAUUUAUUUUUUACCCCUUCCAUAUUUUCAACACAAAGACAAUACAACAUUUCAAGACAAAACAAGACACAAACAUACUGUAUCAUUUUUUUCCAUUUUCUCGAAAUGGCCAUUUUUUCUUUUGCCCUAUUUGCCUAGGGAUGAGCAGAUUGCUCCUGUCCUAUCUAUGGAUGGGCAGCUUUUUUUUUUUCGUCACUUACCCCCGAGUGUCCCGGGGCUCCCCGUACGGGCCACCAUCUGUUGCAGUCUGGCUGCAGCAAAAUAACCGGGGGGUGACGAAAAACUUGUGUACAUUGAUACAGCAGGAGUGGAAGCCCUUUAUUGUAGGACAACAGAGGUAUUUAUACAUUCCACACAGCUUAUCUAAUUAACAUAAACUAGAUACAGCAGUCAACCAAUAAGGAAUUUCCAGACUUAAUGGCUCGCUGGCAUUACUUCACAAACUAUUCCCUCUGGCAUUUUGCCAGGCGUCAUCCAGACUUGUUUACAGACUCUAACAAAGCCAAA